Molecule: long non-coding RNA, 442 nt
Filed under: Sorghum bicolor (sorghum)
Lineage: Eukaryota; Viridiplantae; Streptophyta; Magnoliopsida; Poales; Poaceae
Description: long non-coding RNA (SBIC_LNC010977)
Source: RNAcentral
AGGCGGAGGGUCGCUAGCACACCCGAAGGCCCCCUCCUGCGUAGGCCUAGGAGGAACGCCACCUGGUCCCACCUGGCCUGGAGAAAGGCCAUGUGGAGUCGGGUUUGAACCCGCCGAUAGUGGCUGCACAGAGGAGAAGUGAUCCCAUUAGUACCUGCGGGAUGGCCGUACAAGCGAAAACAUAAGACAGACUGCUAGAAACUCACCGGAGUCCCUAAAGGGCUAGGAACAGGGGUGGAGCGAGAACAAGGUGUGGAGCGAAGAUCACGAGAGGCAACGGAGGACAUCUGAAACCAGGGAUCUCUAGGCCCUAAAAGAAGCUGGCAAACUCUUUCAUCUGAUGCAUCGAGUGCUUCUGGAUAGCCUCCAACUGCCGCCGAUGGGCCUCUUGCUGGGCCACCAGCUGCUGCCGAUGGGCCUCCUCUUAGGCCGCCUGUUGGGC